Molecule: transfer RNA, 73 nt
Filed under: Cricetulus griseus (Chinese hamster)
Lineage: Eukaryota; Metazoa; Chordata; Mammalia; Rodentia; Cricetidae
Rfam family: tRNA
About the family: Transfer RNA (tRNA) molecules are approximately 80 nucleotides in length. Their secondary structure includes four short double-helical elements and three loops (D, anti-codon, and T loops).
Source: Rfam by way of RNAcentral
GCUCAGCUAGCUCUGUCAGUAGAACAUAAGACUCUUAAUCUCAGGGUUGUGGGUUUGAGCCCCACAUUGGGCA